RNAcentral lists this ribosomal RNA (1101 nucleotides) under Triticum aestivum (bread wheat). RNAcentral's name for it is "partial small subunit ribosomal RNA". Lineage: Eukaryota; Viridiplantae; Streptophyta; Magnoliopsida; Poales; Poaceae. The record is from RNAcentral.
AUGGCCGCCGCCGCGUCCUACUUCUCCGGCACGGCGCUGAUGCCGUCGCAGCGCGCGGGGGCGCCCGACUACUCCGCCGCCGGUGCGGCCACCCCUUCCCCCUCCAAGGCGCGCAACUCCCGCUACUCCGGCUGCGUCCCCGCCACCGUCCUCCACAUCUCCCGCUCCCUCGCCGCCGCCGCGGCGAACCACGGCGGUGGCGGUGGCGACCCCGUCUUCUCCAUCGACGGCGUCGAGACCAGCAACGUUAGGGUUUUGGGGAGGGUUGUGAGCAUGUCGAGCAGGGAGACCGACGUGUCGUUCACGCUCGACGACGGCACCGGGAAGAUCAAUCUCGUGCGGUGGAUCAAUGACGAGACAGAUGCUCGAGAAGCGGCUUUCAUCCAGCAUGGAGUGUACGUCAGGGUUCAUGUGAACAUCAUGGGGUUUCAAGCUCAGAAGCAUGGAUUUGCUCGAUCUAUCCGCCCAGUUACCAAUUUCAAUGAAGUGGUGCUGCAUUUCAUCGAAUGCAUGCACGUGCACAUGGAAAAUACUCAGACGAAGAUGCAAGGGCAACUCCCUCCAGCAGUUCAAACAAACGCUUAUACUCAUGUGCCUUAUUCUGGUGGAAUGAGAGAACAGCAAGUCCAUUUUACUCCUCAAGUAAACCAACGGCAACUCCCACCUGCAGUUCGAACAAAUGCGUCUACUUAUGGGCCUUUUACUGGUGGUGCGAGAGAACAUCAAGUUCAUUUUACUCCUCAAGUAAAUCAUGGACAAUUUCCUCCUCCCAGAGUUCAAACUAAUACAUCUACUCAUGGUCCUUUCUCCGGCGGAGUGAGAGACCAUCAAGUUCAGCUUGCUCCUCGACCUCAAAUAAACCAAUUUGCAGCUUACUCAGGCACUGGUGGACAACAGUAUGAUCUGCAAAGAAUGGUUUUGGAAGUUCUGCAAGCACCUGAUAUCCUACCCCUUGAAAAUGGCGUACAUGUUGAUGAAGUGGCUAGAAGAACUGGAGCGCCAAAAACAAACAUCAUGGAGGUUAUCAACUUACUUGCUGAUACAGGGUUCGUCUGUUGGACCAUUGAUGACUAUCAUGUCAAGUCUGUGUGUAAUGGUUGA